AUCAAAACUAUGAAAUAACACACAUGGAUUCAUGUAGUAACCAAAAAAGUGUUAAACUAAUUAAAAUCUAUUUGAGAUUCUUCUAAGUAACCAUCAUUUGCCUUGAUGACAGCAGUGCACAGUCUUGGUAUUCCCUGCAGUGAUAUUCCAUCACCAGUAGUAAAUGUACCGUUAAUCCCUGUCAUGCGAUAACAUUGUUUUAUGGUAUUGCGUGUAUUAGAGCUGGGUGAUAUCCUGAUAACAAUACAUGUCACGAUAUAGCACAUCUUCUGUAAAUUCAAUUUAGAAAUAGUUUUUGUUGGGUCUCAUCCGUAGACUCUCUCCGUACUGUUUCACAUGAUUCUUGUGUAGGGGGUAAGAGGUUAGCGGUGUUUGAGCCUGUUGUCGGGACUGGCCUGUUUCACAUGAUUCUUGCGUAGGGGGUAAGAGGUUAGCGGUGUUUGAGCCUGUUGUCGGGACUGGCCUGUUUCACAUGAUUCUUUCAUAGGGGGUAAGAGGUUAGCGGUGUUUGAGCCUGUUGUCGGGACUGGCCUGUUUCACAUGAUUCUUGCGUAGGGGGUAAGAGGUUAGCGGUGUUUGAGCCUGUUGUCGGGACUGGCCUGUUUCACAUGAUUCUUGCGUAGGGGGUAAGAGGUUAGCGGUGUUUGAGCCUGUUGUCGGGACUGGCCUGUUUCACAUGAUUCUUGCGUAGGGGGUAAGAGGUUAGCGGUGUUUGAGCCUGUUGUCGGGACUGGCCUGUUUCACAUGAUUCUUGCGUAGGGGGUAAGAGGUUAGCGGUGUUUGAGCCUGUUGUCGGGACUGGCCUGUUUCACAUGAUUCUUGCGUAGGGGGUAAGAGGUUAGCGGUGUUUGAGCCUGUUGUCGGGACUGGCCUGUUUCACAUGAUUCUUUCAUAGGGGGUAAGAGGUUAGUGGUGUUUGAGCCUGUUGUCGGGACUGGCCUGUUUCACAUGAUUCUUUCAUAGGGGGUAAGAGGUUAGCGGUGUUUGAGCCUGUUGUCGGGACUGGCCUGUUUCACAUGAUUCUUUCGUAGGGGGUAAGAGGUUAGUGGUGUUUGAGCCUGUUGUCGGGACUGGCCUGUUUCACAUGAUUCUUUCAUAGGGGGUAAGAGGUUAGCGGUGUUUGAGCCUGUUGUCGGGACUGGCCUGUUUCACAUGAUUCUUUCAUAGGGGU
Oncorhynchus keta (chum salmon) is the source of this 1171-nucleotide long non-coding RNA. RefSeq lists it as uncharacterized. The transcript is spliced from 4 exons. The record is from RefSeq and is a predicted model, not a curated record. NCBI's taxonomy places the organism in Eukaryota, Metazoa, Chordata, Actinopteri, Salmoniformes, Salmonidae.